CCCAGCAAAAUAACAUAAGUCAAACUACAAUUAAUACGAGUUGAUGUCAAUUAUACCACCUACUAAUAAUCAUUAUUAUACCAGAAAAUGAUCCAUAAUAAUCCACAUAAACAAACUAAUAAGCAUACCUACAGGAGAACAAUUAACACAAAAAAUUGAAAUGUAUCUUAUCAAAACCUCAACUAUUUUAUAAAAGUAGAAUAUAGCAUCCACACACCCAAUAAAAAUAAGUAAAUAUCAUACCCCU
Molecule: long non-coding RNA, 247 nt
Filed under: Solanum tuberosum (potato)
Lineage: Eukaryota; Viridiplantae; Streptophyta; Magnoliopsida; Solanales; Solanaceae
Description: long non-coding RNA (STUB_LNC004674)
Source: RNAcentral